ACAAAGAAUGUGAAUCAUUAAUUUAUGAAAGAUUUUGAAAAAGCCCACCAAAUUCAAUAUAAUUUAAAUUACCUGCUAAAAUUUCCAAUUAAUUCUCAAAAGCCUUACAAAACGACGUCGCUUGGUUCGUGACAUAUGUGUGAUAGAUAUACACUGUAAAAGGAACAUGUGAUAGAUAAAAUGUUGUCAUAGAUUUAUGAUAGGGGUUACAAUGACAGAUGGAAACUCUGUCAUAAAAGGGGUCGGAUGAUAGAUAUUCUCUGUCAUGGUAGCCCUUUUUCUAGUAGUGAGAGUUCUUAACAAUGGUGGCUGGAGGUUGAAGAAAGCCUCAACCUUAUUGUAUAUGUGUUUUUGUUAUAAAUGAGAAAAUAGAACAUGAGCGCUUUUAUAUGGAGUGUCUUGGGAUGUCCGAUUUUUAUUAGUCUAUCCUGCGGAUAUUCAUGUCCUUUGGCUCGUAUAACUAUUUGGAGCAUUGGAAGCUGGUUGGAGAGCAAGUUGAUGCAUCAUUUGUGUAUUUUGUCCACACUUACGCGUAUUAGACAUUGGCAGGUAGUCCCACACACUUUGGUGUGGCAGGUAUGGACAGAUGGUCCAAACUAUCGUGAUGAACUAAUUUUUGGCUUCUUUUGCAGGUAAAAUAUUCCUCAAUGGAUUCUUAGCUAGAGAAUCAGUUAUUCUUUUUGGGUGAUGGAGACAUCUCGCGCGGCUGAUAUUUUAUUCACUUUCUUUUAACUAUUCCUCCUUUAAUAUGGCGUAUUCCACAUACCAAUUUUAUUACCUGAUGUACCCAACAUAGGUCAAUCUUCCCUUUGAUGACUUUGCAAACUCUACAUUGACACAUGUUGUUCUGUCGUUAAACUUCUAUUUUUCCCCCUAAAUAGUAUUGAUUUUAUAUUUAUUUCAUAUUUAUUAUGUUUUAUUUGAUAAGUAGUUAGUUGUUUUACAUUUAUAGUAGUAAGAUUAUUGUAGAGCUUUUAUUUUUCCAUGUUAAAGAUGAUAAUUCUGCUAUAAAAUCCGUCUGGUGUAAAGAAACACUCAAACAACAAUAUUGACAUUAAAUAAUUUCUUGUUACUGAAUGACAGUAUCAACUAAAUUUCUUUUCGUAUAAUAGAAAGUUAGAUAUAAGGUCUAGUCAAAAUAUAUUUUAAGAAGAAACAAGCAACACUAAGAGCAAAUUUUAACAAAAGUCGCAUAAAUAUUUUUUUAUAGAUUUUGUUUCAAAUUGAGUAAUUAUUAAUUUAUAUAGUACAUGGGUCCUAUUAUAAAAUAUAAUUUUUUAAAAAAAUAUUAUUUUAUCAUAUUAGUCUUAAAUCGUGAUCAAUAAAAAUUAUUAUUUAAUUAAAAUUAUUAAUUUAUCGAGUAUCUAAUGUAUAGUCAAAUCUAAACAUCUAUACUCCGAAGACGAGGAAGAGGAAAAUAGAUAGAGGGAGUGGGUCAAGGAGUCGAGUCCCUCUUGUAUUCAUAAUUCAAAAUAUGUAAAUUUGCUAUUGUAAUACUAAUAAGGAUGAUUUACAUAUUCUUGAAUCCCUUCAUAUCCAUUGUUUUCAAAUGUACAAGAUUCGUCAUAGAAUUGGCACUUAAAUAAUAGUUGACUGAAUUGAGCGUAUACCCAUUUGAAUCGGCAAUUGACAAAGAGUGUUGCUAUUUGCCCCGAAAUCGCGCCCCGAAAUCGCACCCCGAAAUUAAAACGCACCGUUUGUUCUGAGUUAAUCACGUGUCUUGCUUUAUAAAGGAAAAAGUUGGGGAAAGAAAAAGCAAAAGUUGUUUCUUCACGUUUCUUCAGUCAAACACGUGGGCCUAACUUGUUAAAAAGUUGGGGAAAGAAAAAGCAAAAACAACGUUUCUUUGUUAUUUCCUUUGAAAUUUUGUCUCCACACGUGUUGUCCAAUUUUGUCUUCACUUUCCAUUUCACUUCUCUAGUUAGCAGCACUCUGAGCUUUCACUUUCCAUUUCACUUUCUUGUUGUCAAAUUUUGUCUUCACUUUCCAUUUCACUUCUCUAGUUAGCAGCACUCUGAGCUUUCACUUUCCAUUUCACUUUCCCGUAAAGCAAGGUAAACAUUUUGCUUUCACUUUUCAUUUCUCUUUCCAGUUAGCAGCACUCUUUUUCUUCAAGCAGAUUCAUCACUUAAGUCAUUCAGAUCUGAACUCAACUCUUGUUCGAUGGUUCGUUCUCUUGCUCUCAUUCAAUUUUCAUUAUUGUGUUUGAUGCAUGUAUCAUCAUCUGAUGGGUGGUUUUUAUGCUGGCUUCUUGUGGUAGAGGUAGCUUUAUUUAUUUAAUUAUUUUUGGUUAAUUGAAUUAGUUAUUGAGUCGGAUACUGUGGGUGUGGUUGCUAUAACAUUUUGUAAAUUACAAAAAUUAAAUUGGACAGAUUUUACAUAUUUCGCUUGCUAUCAAGUCGGAUACUGGAUUUGGAUGUUUGGAAUGAUGAAUAUCGGUUGUGCUUUGCUGCUACUGUGCUUAGAUCCUUAAUUAUCUGUGUUAUGCUUGUUUUGGUCAUUUCUUCUGGGGAGGUGGUGUUCUGUUUCUUCAGGGUUGAAACAGAGGGUUGCUUGGUGUUUGGUUAUGAACAUAGUGAUUUUUUGUUUGACUUACUCUUGCUUCUUCUAUUUUUUAUUAAUUUUUUAUUAGUUAAAAAUGUUUAGAUUGGUAUGUUUUUGAUGUAUGCCUGAAUUGAUUGGCUUAUUUGAGUUUGAUUAAAAUGCUAAAUAAAUGGUGGAAGCAAGGAAUUGAAAAUUUGAUUAUAGUUUGUUAUUAUUGUAGGAACUUGAUGUAGUUAUAUUUGAAUGGACGAAUAUUGCUUCAGUACAUGAAUCAUUAUGGGCAACAGAUACCAUGCUUGUUUAGCAACAUGAGCAACCAAUCUCGAGAGAGCUUUUCUCAUGUUUCUAUUUUAUUUUCCUCCAGCCCUAGGAAUUGGACACUUUGACACCCUGGGAAUUUAAUUUCUGUUUUAUUUGUGUGUAACUGGUGCUGUAAUUGUUGUAUGUUCUAAUUUAUUUUCGAUUUUUUUUUCUGUUUCGUAGUUUUGGAAAUCAAUUAACCACAAUGUCAACUAGCACAAGUGAAAUUCGAAACUCACAGCAGCUAUGUAACGGAUGCGGUAAUUACAUGGAGUUAUUAACGUCACGUACAACAAAGAAUCCAAAUUGUAAAUUUUGGCUUUGUAAAAGAUGUAAUAAUUUUCAAUGGGCUGAAGAUCGUAAACCAAGCGAAGAGAAAAUUGAUUUGUUAGUGGAGGAGGUUAGAAAGUUAGCAUUUGAGAUUGAGUGUUUGUCCGUUAAAUUCCAAUUAUUGUAUGAUAACGAACUUCGAAGGAGACAGACACCAAAAUAUGAUUACAUUAAAAUACUUGUAAUUGUUGUGAUAUGUUAUCUAUUCAAGUGUUAUUUUUAAGUUUUAUUAUUUUGUACUAUGUAUUAAUUUGCAAUUGAUUAAUUGAUUAGUUGAUGUCAAUUGUUUCUUUAUCCCAUGGCAAUUUCUAGUUUUGUGAAUUUCCAAGAAAUUUCCUUCGUGUUUUCACUUGUUUAUUUUGGAACUAGCUAAGAAAUUUAUUGACAUAAUGUACAUGCGGAAUUUGAACAUAACGUUCUUGCAUGGCAAAAUCUUCAUACUUGAAAUUGUGAUAUUCAAGAAAGCAAAAAAAAAAAAAAAUCACAUUUUGGCUUCAUUUAUUCAUGCUUUCAUGGUCUUUUCAACUGAUUCUGAAAUAGAGCAAAAGAAGAAAAAUUGUCAAUUUAAAAUGCUGUAGAAUAAAUGAGUCUUUGUCCAGCACAACUAAAUAGGAUCAAAAUCAUACAGCCGUUCUUAGUUUUGGCACCAAUUAAAAUUUUAGCCUUCUGUGGGGCAAAAUAAUACAUCAAAACACAAGCUAGUUUUAAUCAUGUGUUGGGAUCAUUUGCUGAAAAUUCCGUCUGAUUGGCAUCCUCAAAAUCUUGUUGUAAAAAUUGUUGGAAGUUUACAUGAGGAACUCUUCCAUAAUUUAUCCAAGGCUGAUAGUAAGGGGGGAAAAAAACAUGUUGUGGGAGUGGGUGUUAAAAGAAAAUGUCCAUUAAAUUAAUAAACAAAUGACAAUAAAACAACACUAACAUGUAUAUAUAAAAAAAAAUUUACCAUAGCCAUAUUGUCUGAUUGUGUUGGGAUUGCAGUAGCCGCCUGAGAAGAUGAAUCAUGUGCCUCCAAGUGCUACGAAAGUAAGCAAGAAACAUUUAAAUUUUAUUCAAUUUAUAUGAAAUUAAUUUGCAUUGAAUUAAUUAAAAAUGAAUGCAAUAGAAUUACCUCUGCAGUUGUACUCAAUGAAGUAUUGUUCGACUUAUGUUUUGGCUUUUUAAAUUGUUUUUGCUUUCUUUGAGAAGGUGGCCGACCUUUACGAUGAGAUACUACUGGAUCCUGAAUGAUUUCCGCACAACUUCCUGACCCACCAGCAGCAGUUACAUCUUCGCUUUGACUUCGAACAUUCAACGAUACAUCCUUAAUUGCCUUUUCAAUCCAAGUCAAAACACUUUUAUGACUUUCUUCAUGUUUUGAAGCAACAUCAGCAACAUCAUAAAAAGCAGCACACUCUUCUUUAUAUCGCUGGUGUUCAAUGCUCGAGCUUCUCACAUCAUAACUGACUUUCACUCGACUAUAACAUCUCCGCACAUCUUUCAUCCAUCUCCGUAUAAUAUACUUCUCAGGAAGAAAUGUUACACGGGUACGUAUCAUCACUGCAAUGGCGUGUCUACAAACAAUUCCUCUACAUUCAAACAUUGCACACGCACAACGAAUUUCACCGUCGUCCCUUUCAAAAAUAACUUGAAAAGUCUUCUCUUUACUCUUUCCAUCAUUUUCGAUGACUUCAUAUUUUGAUCCCCCACAACUGAAAACCUCACUACAUCUUAUCCAUCAGCUGCUGUUGAAAUUCUUGAAACUUGGAAAUAGUAUAUACUUCCUCAACUUGUUUUUCCAUUGCGAAAUUAGUACGGCAUGACAUCCGUUGGCUGAAGCACCUAGCAUCUGCUUGCCACUCUUUUUCAAUUUUACUUUCCAUUGCUUUCUCAUAUUUCUCCACAAAUUGCUUCAAAGUUGUUUUUGAAUUAACAUACCCAUCAAAAAAAGCAUUCAUACUCUCAUUACGUUGAGUGGUUGACAUGCCAGCCCAAAAAGUUGUUUUCACAAAACAUGGAAUCCAACGAUAUCUUUCCUCAUAUAAACCAUUUAACCAUUGAUUAUCAGCAAUAUCAUAUUUAUCUAACAUGUCAUGCCAAGCUUCCUCAAAUUCAAUAGGAGUCUGUGAAUCAUAAACAACAGCAUGCAAUGAAAAUCUAAUGGCAUGAUAUUCUGCAUACCUUCCCAACUUCUCGGGCACCUUUUUCAAAAUAUGCCACAAACACCAUCGAUGCCUAGUAUUUGGAAAAACAAUCUCAAUUGCAUUUUGCAUUGCUCUGUCUUGGUCUGUGAUGAUUCCAAGGGGAGGAGAGCCGAACAUACAUGAUAGCCAUGUGUGAAAUAACCACGUAAACGUCUCUGUAUCCUCAUGCGAAAUCAACCCACAUCCUAACAAAAUAGACUGACCGUGAUGAUUAACUCCAACAAAAGGAGCAAAUGGCAUGUCAUAUUUAUUCGUAAGGUACGUGGUGUCAAAUGUAACAACAUCUCCAAAGUCUUUGUAGGCUGCCCUACUUCUUGGAUCUGCCCAAAAUACAUUGUUUAACCGACCCUCCUCAUCCAAGUCAAGACUGAAGAAAAAUCCAUCAUUUUCUGCUUGCAUUUUCUGAAAAUAUUUCUAAAUUGCAGCCGCAUCCCCUUCUCCAAGCCUUAAUCGCCUUGCUUUAUCAACAUAAUUUCUAGCAUCUUUUUCUAAGAAUGCGACAUUUUCAUAGCCACCAGCCUCAACGACAAUAGACUUGAAACUUUGAGCCAUUCUAAUUCCUGCUUCUUCAUUUAUUUCCAGUUGCUUUUUUACAUAAGGACUAAUGGUACGGUUGCAUCGAUAAUACCUACUCUUGCUCGGACUUAUAGCAUGGUUGUGUUCGAGGACAAAAUUUCCAAUUAUCCAUUUUCCACCAACAAAACGUCCUCCAAUUUUAGCAUUGCAUCCAAUUUUCUGAUUAGGUUGAAGCCGCAAAACCUGAUUGGAUUUGCCUUUGGACUUGCCGUUUCGCCCGCAACUAAAUGUCACAUAUCUCAUAUUCCCGUCAUCCCUUUUUUUACAAGAUCUCCGCAUCACUGGAAAUCCCUCUUGUUGGCCAUAAGCUUUGUAAUAUUCAAACAUUUCAUCUGGACUAUUAAAACACAUCCCAACCGUAGGCUCUUCCACCAAAUUUUCAUUAUUUCCUUCAAAAUUAGCCUCCUGUAAAUCUUGAAAUUCCUCUACUUCAUCAACCUCCACUUCAUCAACCUCUAAUUCAUCAAUCUCGUCCAUUAUUGCUGCAAAUUUAAUAAAUUAUACCAAAAUUGAUUAUUAUUAAUUACUUAUCCCUAAUUUAUUAAGUUUAUAAACAAAUAAAAAAUAAAUAUAUAUUAUUAAUUAACGAUUCAGCAAAUUAAUUAUUAUUAAUUACUUAUCCCUAAUUCAUUAAGUUUACAAACAAAUAAAAAUAUAAAUAGAUUUUUUUAGUUAACGAUUCAGCAAAUUAAUUAUUAUUAAUUACUUAUCCCUAAUUCAUUAAGUUUACAAACAAAUAAAAAUAUAAAUAGAUAUUUUUAAUUAACGAUUCAGCAAAUUAAUCAUUAUUAAUUACUUAUCACGGCUCAACAAAUUGAAAUAAAUAAAAUACAAUAAUUUACAUACAAAUGCUCACGGUUAAGUAAAUUUAAAUAUAAAUACUCAUGGUUGAGCUCACAAAUUAAAAUAAAACAUCUCAAGAUUCAUAAAUUAAAAUGAAGCAACUCAAUAAAUUAAUGUAGAAAUAAUAAAUACUUACAAGUUUCGUAAUGUAGAGUUUUGUAAAGCAAUGAACUCCCCUCUCUUUCAGAUCUGCCUGAAUGCAAAGUAAAUAGCGAAGAAGGAAAUGAGUAACAAAGAAGAAGGAAAUAACAAAGAAACGUUGCUUUUGCUUUUUCUUUCCCCAACUUUUUAGCAAGUUAGGCCCACGUGUUUGACUGAAGAAACGUGAAGAAACAGCUUUUGCUUUUUCUUUCCCCAACUUUUUCCUUUAUAAAGCAAGACACGUGAUUAACUCAGAGCAAACGGUGUGUUUUAAUUUCGGAGUGCGAUUUCGGGGCGCGAUUUCGGGGCAAAUAGCUUUUUCCAUUGACAAAUGGCAUCCUCAAAGACUGAAUAGGCAGAAUUCUUCAUGACGCACCAAUUUAUCACAUAAUUUUGAAUUUUUAAUCUAUGAAUAUAGAAUCUUCCAUUUCAUAACACAACAGUUAAAAGAUUUUAAAAAAAAGAAACUUUUAAUCUAUGGUCAAGAACUGGAUGCUUAAAAAUCAAAAGUGAAAUAAAGAACUGACACUAGUAAAUUGAAAUGUACAUUGCCUAGAAUUGAUGGAGCAUGCACGGGGAUAUGUGCGUAUUAAAAAAAAUGCCACUUGUUCAACUUUGACUGCAGUGGUGUUCCAUUUGAUUAAAGCCAAUUUUUCAACAAUUUUAAUUUAUUUAAUUUUAUAUUAACUAUUUAUAUUAUUUGAUGGAUACAAAAUUCGUGUUUACGUUUUCAUUUUUCUACCUAUUCAAUGUUUUUUUAUGUUGUAGGUCUGACUAUUAAUAUUAAUUAAUUAUCAAUUUGAGUCAUAAAAUGACUUGAUCAACUCUACCUAACCUUGUUUAUUUACUCAAUUAUUCCAAAUUUUGUUUAUGCCCUAUCCAGCAGGAAUUUCAAACUUGUGGUACCAAGAACAGUGAGUCAUUCUCCUUUGCAUGCAAAUGCAUUUUGUAAGCAUGAGAUCAUCAUCAAUUCAUCAUAUCAUCACCAAAUGCUAACAAUUAUGUGGUUUUUUGGAAGUUCAAAAUCUCGUUCUGACCUUUCUGAAAUGCCCACAGCCUAAGUCAAAAUUUCCCCCGUUUAUUUAUUUUUUUUAGUGUUAAUAUUAUAUACAAUAAGAGUACUAAUAUUUGGCCCCUCAAUUUAUCUCACUAAAUUAUUUUUUUUAUUGAAAAAUAAAUAUUUUUUUCAAACUUGCAUUAAGUUAACUUUUCAUCUCUCACAUCUCUCUCUCUCUCUCUCCCUUUUAUGAUUUGCCAAUUGAUCAAAUAUUAACUUUUAAUCAAAUCGCAAAUUGAAAUUAAAUAAUUUCUUAUGUGUAACACAUAAUCAAACCAAUAUCAUCAAUAACAAUAAAACCCACCACUUGGUGGUGGUGAUCAUAUUUUUGAUGAAAAUAGGUGGUGGGGGGACGGUUAUGCUAGAAAGAAAGGGGGGGGGGGUGUAUUUUCUUUUUAAAAUUUUUCAUAGGGAGAAUUCUUGAACGUAGUAUAACAAAUUGAAAAAUGGGGGAUGCUAAGACAAUUUGAGGGGGUCAAAUAUCAUUACUCAUACAAUAUAACUAAAACCUAACUAGCUCAAAGUAUAGCUGAAACCCACAAAGCCUAGGACAAGAAAUUGAAAAGAAAAACUCCCAUUACCACUGGGGAGGCAAAGUAGGUACUAACUAACCGAUCUAAGAAGUUGUUAGCUAAUUCUUCUCUUGUUAGUGCUACUAUAAAAAAUUAAUAAAGGAAAAAGGAUAUUUAUACCCUCAAAGUUUAAAAAAAUUAUCACAAAAGAACCCAAAAUUUUAAAAAAAGAACACAAAGUCCCAUUUGUGACCAUAACACCUUUUAAUACAGUAAUUAGAAAAUUGACUUUAAAGUUUUUUAAUUAAUACAAAUUUAAUAUAAAUAAUAUUAUCUAUAUAAUAGACUAAUAAUAUUAAUUUUUUUGACAUUUAAAAUAAUAUUAAAUUAUCAAAUUAUUAUAUAUAUAUAUAUUUUAAUAAGUCUUUGGGUUAAAUAGAUUUUACAAUUAACAAAAUAUCCUCUAUUAAUGAUAUUAAAAUUAUUUUUUAAUAAUGUUCAAAAUAAUUUUUAUUUAUUUAUUUUAAUAUUAUGUUUCUAUUUAUUAUUAAAUAUUAAUUUAAUAUCAUAAAAUAAGUCUAAUAGAUUGUAAAAUAUAAAAAUGUUGUUUGAAUAUUAAAAUUAUUUUAAGAUGUAUAUAUUACUACGUUUAUUUUAAUGCCACAUUUCUAUUUAUUAUAAAAUUUUGGGGUCAGUUUUUUGGGUAGAAAAAGGAGUUUUAAUAUUCCUUAUUGAAAAUUUAGGGGUUUUUGUGACUAUUUUUUUAAACAUUAAGGAUAUAAUCCUUUUCCAUUAAUAAAUUCAAAGAAGUGAUGUUAUGGAUGCUCAAAAAAAUACUUACUUGAAAAUAAAAUAAUUCUGUAGGGUGAUGACGAAUUUCUUGACUACUAUUGAUGAGAAUUUGACUUGACUAGCUAGAAAUAUAAUGAAGUAUUUUUUUCUCCCUUCCUCUAUGACUCCAUCCACCGCGUUCGUAUGAAGCUACGAAGAAUACUGGAAAAACCCUACAAAUAAAAUCAUUUUUUUUACCUUUCCAGAAAACAAUGCUUGUACGCUCACUAGUUACGUCGUCCUGUGCAUAAUUUUACAAUAAAAUACAAUAAAAUAGAAUGCUUCACUAGAUUUGAAAGUCUCUAACAAACGUAAACAUUUUUACCACUUCAACUCUUUCGUUUUCAACAUAAUUUUCCACAUUAAACCCUUAAUUGAACACAUUUCAUCACUCCUAAAUGAAAGCAAAAACUUUAUUUAAUUAUAAAAUUUAUAAAGAAAGAUAAACUAGCACAUCCCAUUAUCAAUAUCUUAUAAUUUAUGCCGCAAAAAGGCAAACUUAUUUCAGCAUUGGCUUCCAAGAAUUCUGAGAAUUCAACAUUCGCUUCUAUGAGAUGAAACCAUGCGUACCAUGUUAAAACAUGAAAGAUUAAUUAUUUUUUUAAUAUAAAAAAAUUAAAAUGGUGCACUUAAUUAAGUUAGUUUACCAAUAUCCCCUUAGUUGAUUGACAUUUCCUCUCAUUGUCCAUAAAGAAAAGGGUGAAAGAAAAUAAUUAGUGUGUGUCAUUUAGAAUAUUCAAGAGAUUAUUUCUUAUAGGAAUUGUGCAGCUAAUUGAACUUUAGUUAAAUGUUUUGCUUUUCCAUUUUGUUUAGAAUUGAGCAGUUAAGAAAAAAAAAUGUUUGUGGAUAAUUUAAACUUCUAUCAAUGAUAUUUUGAUGCAUACACUUCUUAAACUCAUGACACUCUUAACAUUAUAUUUUGUCAAACAUAUAAGGGCCCAUUCUCCUGUGUUGGAUGGAAUUAUCCACAAUUGUAGGCAUCAGAUUCUACGCAAUUUUUAAUUUAUUUCACUAACUCUCACUUUUCAAUUAAUACUUUUAUUCCAUCAUUGCGCUUAUUGAGAAAUAAAUAUUUUGUAUUAACUUUCAAGCUUUUAAUAGAUUAACCUCUCAUCUCUCACAUUCUUCUCUCAUCUCUCACAUCCUUCUCUCUCUCUCUCUCUCUCACUAUCUCUCUCUCUUUUUUAAGUGAUUCACCAUUUGAUCAAAUAUUAAUUUUUAAUUAAAUCCUAAAUUGAAAUUAAACAAAUUUCUAAGUUACCACACAAAUCAAAAUCAAUAUAACUAAUAACAACAAAACCCACCACUUAUUCACAAAAUUCAAUAAAACCCAACAUUAAAAUUCAUCAAAUAUUGGUGAAGGUGAUGGAUUUGCAUGGUCGAUUGAUGAUGAUGAAGAUAGGUAUAGGUGGUACUUGGUAGGGUUUAUGUUUAUGCUAAAGAGAGGGGAAAAAUAAAAUAUCUUUUUAUUUUAAAUAAGAGUAAUUUUGUAAAGUAAUAAGAUAAAUUAAAAAGUAGGGGCUAAUGAAAUAAGUUGAGAAAUAUCAUUAAAAAAAUAGAGACUGGUGAGAUAAGUUGAGGGGUCUUAUAUCAUUAUCAUUACUCAUACAAUGUAACUAAAGCGUCUAUAAAAGUUUAAUGAAAUCCCCAAAUAUGAAGGCCACCAAAGUCCAUCAAAGGAAAUGAAAGAAAAUACCCCACAGCAAUGGGGGAGGCUUGAAUCUUCGUCUUAGAGUCAUGAAGUAGUAAGUAAUCCAAAGAAGAAGUUGUUGGAAAAUUUUUCUCUUGUUAUUUCUACAAUAAGAAAUUAAUAGAUUAAAAGAAAAAAUAUACUAUGCUUGAAAUAAAAAAUUCUAAAGGGUGACGAGGCGUUUUUUGGCUGGCAUUGAUGAGAAUUUGACUUCACUACCUCGAAAAAUAAUGAAACAUUCUUUUCUCCCUCGCUCUAUGACUCUACCCAUCUUGUUCAUUGGAAGCUAAGAAACAUACAAGGAAAGAUCCUACAAAUAAAAUCGAAACUUUUAAUUUUUUUUUUUAAAGCAAUGCUUGCGUGCUUACUAUUUAGGUCGUCCUAUGCAUAAUUCCACAAUAAAAGAUCACGAGACUAGAGAUGGCAAAACCCCAGGCCGGGUCCGGGUAUUGCCAUGACCGGACCCUGCCCGGAUGCAACCGGUCCGGGUCCGGGUCCGGGCCGGGUUUUAAUCCGGGUACCCGGAUUUUAUAUUUUUUAAUAUUUUAUGUGUAUAUAUUUUUUAUUUUUUGAUAAUUUUAUAAGUUUUAAAUUUAUUUCAAUAAAAUUUGACAUGAAAAUAUAAACUUUAAGUGUUUAAAACUUUAUAUAUGUAUAAUAAAUAAGUCAAAUAAAUAUAAAAUAUUUAAAAUAAUAUAUAUUUUAUAAUUUUUUUUAAUAAAAUCCGGGUUCCGAGUUUAUCAAGUGAUGCCCAAGACCGACCCGGCUUCAUACUCGGGCCGGGUAAUACCCGGCCCGCAACACCCGGUACGGUCCGGGUCCGGACCGGGCGGGUAUUUUUGCCACCUCUACACGAGACUAACAAAACAUACAGGAAAAAGUCCUUCAAUACAUUUGAAAAUCUCCAACAAACGUAAACAUUUUUACCAAUUCAAUUCUUUCCUUUUCAUCAUAAUUUUCCACGUUUAACCCUUAACUAAACACGUCAUAGAUUAAUUUUCGCAUUUUGCUAUCGCCAUCACUCCUGAAUGAAAGCGAAAGCUUUAUUUAAUAAUCUCGUUUACAGACAAACAAAAACUAGCAUAUCCCAUUCAAUAUCUUAUAAUUUAUGCUGCAAAGAAGCAAACUUAUUUCAGCAUUGGCUUCUAAGAAUUCAACAUUGGCUUCUAUGAGAUGAAACCAUGCAUAUCAUGUGAAAAGAUGAAAGAUUAUUAGUUUUUUCUUAUCAUAAAAAAAAAAUAAAAAUAGUGCAUGUAACUAUAUUUUUUUUUUUUUAAAGUAAGGAGGUGGGGAAAGUCUAAAUAUGUUUUUAUUUUUUCUCCCUUACUAUCCCCAAGACUUGAACCCGAGCGUUAGCUGCUACAAGUUUGAUGGUGUUACCAACCUAACCACACCGGAGGGUAGGACGACCUAAAUGGUGAGUGGUAAAACAACUAAAGAGUUAUUGGCAAACUAACUUCGUUACAUCCGAAUUGGAAUUAUGGAGAAGUGGCAAAACAAGUUGAUUUGAGGUUUGCCGCAACCGUACCUUUUUCAAGAAAAAAAUUAAUUGGAAUAUCAAAGUAUGAUGUAUAUGAGUUAGAUUUGACUUUUAAUAAAUGCUGAAGAAGAAAAAUCGCACAUCAUAUAAGGGUAAUUCUGGUUGAGUCUUUAUUAUUCGUCGAAAAAAUUGAGAGACUAUAAAUUUGUACAAUGAAUCAAUUAAUCCUUUCAAAUUUGAGGUUAUGUCAUUCAAGUUCUUAAUUUAAUUUGUUGGUUGAAAGAGAUAGCAGCGCAGAGGUAAUUUCAGUAAAAAAUGAUCGGUCACAUCCUUAUUCUUUAUUUUUUGAUGGUGUCAAAAUUUAAAACUAACUAUUAUGGGGAAUAUAUAUAUAUAUAUAUAUAUAUAUAUAUAAGUAACCUAAAUUAAUGUUACAAAAAGGGCUGUCCCAAUUUUCCAAAAAGUAUGGGAACUAUGAAGGUAACAACUGUCGAUUUUGGUGGUGUCAUGGUGUGCACGGAAGCAAUAGGAGUGCACCGGUUUACUUUAAUUAUGGAAAUUCGAUUAAAGAAUCCUUUUUUGUUCUUUUUAAUUUACUUUGAAAAUUUAAUGAGCCAUUUCUUGUUUUUUGAAUUUCAGUUUACCUUUAAUAUUGUUAGGGGGUUUUGUUAGUUUGAAUUUAAUGCUUAUAUUACUACUACUACUACUAUUAUCAUCAUCAUCAUCAUCAUUAUUUGAUAAGAAUGCUUCUAUUAUUUAGUUUAAUAAUUAUCAUAUUUUAUAGAUGUGGUGGAAUUAUUUGGAAAAUAAAUUACAUUUCGAUGUUUAAUUUCAAGAAUUAUGAUUGUUAUUUAUUUUAAUGGUGCUUUUCAUAUUUGAAUUAGUUUAUAAUAACUGAUUAAAAAUUUUAUUUACUGCAGAAUUUUGUUUUCUGUUACUCAAAUUAAUAAAUAGGCGGUUAGACUUAAAAACUAAAAAGCACUAAUAUGCACGAGGAUAAAUCUGUACUCCAAAUCACUAAUAACCUAAUUAUGAUAUAUAAGGGUAUAGUUGUCAUCUUAUGUAUAAUUUAGCAUUUUCACUAACUUUUUUAAUGAAGAAAUUAAAUUGAAAACUUGAAUUAAUCUAUUCAUUAUAUGAAGCUAUGGUCUUUAAUUUUUUUUCCCCUACAAAUAAUAAGGACUGAACUACAAAGCUGAUUGGGAGUUUGCCCGCCGACUUACUUUUUUUUUUUAAUUAAUAAUUAAAAAAUUUAGUAUGAUUUUUACAUAGCUCUCUGGUAAAUUGACUAGCUUGAAAUCGCUCUCUUACUUGUGAAAGCCUUAAUUUAUCCCUCAUUUUUUUAAGGAGACAAAAAAAUAUUUCAUCAAUCCACCUCCAUUUUUCCCUUAUUUUUUGGGAAAAAAAUGGAAGUGACUUGAGGUUUUCAAAAGUAAAGGAAGUGAUUUGAAGAUAAUCAAUUCACAAGCGAGGGUAGUAAUCCAAAAUUUACCAAAAUGAGCUGGAUUUGACCAUUAAGUUUCAACCAAGACAAAUCGAACAUAAUGAUUAAAUUUGAAAUUAACCCUUCAUUCAUAUAUAUAAUUUAGGAUUAGGAUAUUUUCCUAGUAUUUUUAUCUCCUAGUCUUCCAAUCUAGUUGAAAAAAUUGGCUUAAAUGUAAAUAAAGUGAAGAAAAGCUGGUGUUAUUUUCAAUAUUAAAAUUUAGAUUCAAUCUUGACCACUUAUUUUACUAGGAGAGAAAAAAACAGCAAAGAGAAUUCUUGCCUUAUAAUUCAAAUAUUUUGUUUGUAUCCACUCUUAGUUUAUUUAUUUAUUUAAAAAAUAUUUGAAUGAUAACCAAAGUUGGUUGGUGUGAGUGGUUCGGCACUCUUACUCAUUAAGAGAGGUCAGGGGUUCAAGCCCUACUCUCGUAUAAAAUCACCAUUUUGGCCAGCACUUUACCCCUUACGGGCCGACCCGGUGCAAGCGGAGAUUAAUUUGGGUUGUGGUACGGGCUUAAAGGUACCUCCUACAAUUAGGGUCCACUCAAGAUCACCUCGUGGUUCAGACAAAAAAAAAAAAAAAAAAAUAGAGUUGGACUAUUGGCACCCCUCUAAUCUCCUUAUAAGACCCCAUUUUUAGUUAUAUUCAUUUUAUGUCCGAAAAUGCCCCUUUUUUUAGAUACACUUUUCUAAAUUCUCAAUUUUUAUUUGAUUUGUUCUAUUGUUAAAACUCAGAGUAUUAUUGUGCUAUUUUUUUCAUUAUUUUCAAUUUUAUUAUUACCCUACACACAAAUUAAAAAGUUAUAUGGGUGAUAAGUUUUUUAGUGUUAAUCAUUGGCUGAAAUAAUACCAAUUUCAAAUUAUAAUUUCAAAGCAAUUUUAAGUAUAAAAAUAUUUAAUCAAUAAGGAAUCAAAAGAGAACAAUAGAUUAUUCUAAAUUUGUAUAAUUUAUUUUAGUUAGAUAGGAUAUAAUUUUUUUUAAAGGAUUGAUUAUGAAUUAAGUAAUUUGCUGGAAAAAAAUUUAUGUGUUUAAUUUUCAAUUGUCUUUAAUUAUAAUUUUAUUUAAAGGGGGGUUUUGUUAGAAUAAUGCAGGGGUGCCAAUAGCUCGACUCAGAAAAAAAAAAUAUAUAUAUAUCUGAAUGAUCAAUGAAGAAAAUCAAAGUCUGUUCUAUGUACGAAGCUGUAUUCUUAGUAGAUACUGACAAAAUAAAUAUCAACUUCCACAAGCGCAGACGUAAUGAGUUUCAACACAGGUGAAACAAAUGAAAUUUCAUGCAUGACUAAAUGUGACCAUUAAAAUAUAUAUCCGGUUGCUAAACUGACAACCAUCUCUCUUCAUAAUGUUAUAUAUAUAUACACCCUCAGCCUCCUCCUCGUUCAGUCGAGAAUUGCCUUUUGCUAUGAUAGCCGUACGUUUUGCUAAUCCUUUUGAUAUGGAUAACCUCAGCCUCCUCUUCAGUGAUUUCCUUUCUCAUCUUGAAAAUAAUCCCUUUUUUGGAUCCAUUGUUUUGGUGACCACACUCGUUUCCCUUGUUGCACUAGCAAGCUUUCAGCUGAGUCCUCAAAAUCGUCUCCGGAAAUUUGUGAAGGAUAUGUUUUCAAUUGUCCAGAAUCAACUAUUCAAGGUAUAUGAUAAAAGCUCUUUCAUAUAUAUAUAUAGAUAUGUAUAUAUAUAUAAUGAGCAUAUAACAUUGUUUUCUAACUCACAUGAAUUCAAAUAGAUGAUUUAAUUUUUUAUCUAUUGGAUUCUUUUAAUGAUGAAAAAUUAAGUCGAAAAAAUAGGAAAAAUAAUGCUUUACGCUCGUGUGUGGUUGUCUCUAUCAUGCCCACAUGCGGAAAAAUGCUGUAAACUCUUUCACAGCUAUAUAAACUCGUAUAUGAUGCUGUAAAGUAUUAAGUAUUUUUGCAAAGUUGUAAAAAAGGGGUAUUUUCGUGAAUAUAUGCCUAACAUUUUGUUCAAAAUCCAGGGAUCCGAGAAAAAAAUAAAGCGGCUACCUCUGCCUCCAGGCCCUUCUCCAUGGCCAAUAGUUGGAAACCUUCCGGAAAUGUGGAGUAAGAAGCCAGCCUUCAAUUGGAUACAUGAUGUGAUGAAAGAACUAAACACGGAUAUUGCUUGCAUCCGCCUGGGAAAUGUUCAUGUUAUUCCAGUGACUUCCCCAGAAAUUGCCCUAGAAGUUCUAAAAGACAACGACUCAGUUUUCGCAACACGGCCGCUCACAAUGGGGACAGAGUAUUCUAGCCGAAGAUUCUUGUCAAUAGCUGUUGUGCCAUUGGGUCAGCAGUGGAAGAAAAUGAGAAAAGUGGUUGCUUCUCACGUGUUAUGUUCAGCACGACUUCACUCUUUACUCUUUAAGAGAAGAGAAGAAGCUGACAAUCUUGUUAGAUUCGUUUAUAGUCAAUGCUGCAAACGUGGAUCUGGUUCGGUUGUCAAUGUAAGACAUGCGGCCCGUCAAUAUUGCGGAAACGUUAUGAGGAAUAUGAUGUUUAACAGGAGAUAUUUUGGUGAAGGUAAUGAAGAUGGAGGGCCUGGAUUUGAAGAAGAAGAACACGUUGAGUCACUCUUCAUUGUACUCCAAUACCUUUAUGCAUUCACUCUAUCAGAUUACCUUCCCUGGAUGAGAGUAUUCGAUUUAGAAGGCCAUGAAAAACUUAUAAGUAAUGCUAUUAGAACUGUCUCCAAGUAUCAUGAUCCCAUCAUAGAGGAGAGAAUUCAACAACGGAGGCAUCAUCGUGGGAAUUACAAGAAGGAAAGUGAUGAUCAUCAGGACUUGCUGGACGUCCUUAUUUCAGCAAAGGAUGAAAGUGGGAGGCCAUCAUUAUCAGUAGAUGAGAUCAAAGCUCAAUGCAUGGUAAGAUAUCUAGUAAAUUUAAUUAGGACAUUUGUAUGUUUUAAUCACCUUAUUAAUGCUCUUGAAUUUGAUUACAAAUUAACUUAUGAAUCUACAUAUCUACUCCAUGUGUAGGAUCUGAUGCUUGCAACUGUGGAUAAUCCAUCCAACGCUCUAGAAUGGGCCCUGGGGGAGAUGAUCAACCAGCCUGAAAUUCUUAAAAGAGCAACAGAAGAAGUAGAUAUGGUUGUUGGAAAAGAGAGACUUGUUCAAGAAUAUGACAUCCCACAGCUCAAUUAUGUCAAGGCUUGCUUAAGGGAAGCGCUUCGACUUCAUCCCGUUGCACCAUUUAACCUACCUCAUGUGUCAACUCGCGAUGCCACAAUCGCCGGCUACUUCAUUCCCAAAGGCAGCCACGUUCUGCUAAGUCGACUAGGGCUUGGUCGGAACCCUAAUGUUUGGAAAGACCCCUUAAAAUUCAUGCCGGAACGUCACAUUGGUUCAACUGAUCAUCACCUUCAAGUUGAGCUGACCGAACCAGAAUUAAGGUUUGUUUCGUUUAGCAGAGGAAGACGUGGCUGCAUGGGCGCGGCACUUGGGUCUGAGAUGUCUGUAAUACUACUAGCAAGGCUUCUUCAGGGUUUUGAUUGGAGCCUGCCAUCAAAUGAGGAGAAGAUUGACCUCGCUGAAUCAAAAUAUGAUCUUCUUAUGGCUAAACCGAUGCAUGCUAGUGCAAAGCCUCGGUUGGCAGCUGAGUUAUAUACCUAGCUAAUUAAACUAGAAUUAUGAUAUCGGUUAGUACAAAUAAAAAUUGAAUUGCUGGCUAGGCUUUUUUUUUUUUUUUUUUAUGUAAGAAAAAUGAUAAAGAGCCUAGCUAAAAGUGAUUGUACCGAGAUAGAAAUAACAGUAAAAUCUUAUAGUAUUAAUUAAAAAAUAGGACUCUAUUUUUUACUUAAUACUAUAAUUACACCAUAUAGUUUUAUAGAUUUUUGGCAUUAUUGUGUCAUAUACUGAGAUUUUUCGGCUCAAAUAUCAAUACUCUGUAAUACUUUAUGUAAUAAAUCUCAUAUGUAAUAAAUAAAUAGAUAAAUAAAUCAUGUCGAUCAACAUUUGAUGUUGUGCAAUAAUUCUUUCUUAGUUUAAUUACUAUUUUUCUUACUAUGCAAUUUUUUAAAAUAUAUAUCGAGAAAUGUGAUCAUUUAAAAAUCAUGACCACCUCAAUCCUACCCUUUUUAAAAAGAAUAUUUUCUUGAUUUAAAUUUUACUUGAGCAUAUGUACAAGUUAGUGAACUGUUAUUAAUAUAUAUGGUGUGUGUGUGUGUCAAGAUAUCAUCCGAAACUUUAGAAAAUUUAAAUUUACAGAGCUCCUAAAAAUUGAGUGGUGCUAGGAUUAUAAACUCUCUUUAUUCCGGAUAUCAUAAUCACUUAACUAUUGACAAUUUAUAGAUUUAGUUAAUUUUUGUUGUUUUAUUUGGUUAUUCUUUAUGCUGUAUGCUUUUAUCAUUUAUCAUGGGGCUAAUUUUAAUUAACAAUACCAAAUAGAAAUUGUCAAUAGUUAAAUGAUUAUUAUUGGUCGAAUACUAAACUCCAUAUUAUUAAAAAUAGUUUCAGUUAAUUAGGCGUUUAAGCUUUUAUCACUGAUCAACUUAUGGGUUUUGGGGAUAAUGGGCUUGGACUUAAUUAUUAGUUGUCACCGUAAAUCCCAAUGGUUUGCAUGCCUCUCCUAACUUAAUUAUAGUCAAACCCAUAUUGAUUUUUUUUAUCCUUUUACUUCUCCAUGGUUGGAAUUUGUGUAACCAACUAAACAAAAUUACUAAAAACCUCUGCAUCAAGUGUUUGGGACUAAUCAAAAUCUUAAUUAGCGUCUAUGUAAGUGAAUAAAACUUGAAACAAUUAGAUGUGAGGAAUUUGAAAAAGAGAAAUACGGUGCUCUGGAUUUUCCUCUCUGCACGGAUUCACUACAUAACAUACACAUGAAGGAUAUAUAUCAUAUAUUUCAGGAUAAUAGAGAGGACUACGCCCAUCUUUUAUAGAUCCUAAAAAUGGUGUAAGAUAACCAAAAUAAAUAAAUAAAAAAUUGUAGUAAAUUUUACAGAUAUUUUAUAAGAACUAAACAUGUAAUUCUCUAACUCCAUUGAUUAGUAUUAAAAAUUGUUGAAUUAUCAAGUGAUAAUAUGUUAUUUUAUGCUUAUGUUAUAAUUUAUAUUUAUGUUUAUGUAAUAUAUUAUGAAUUAUGAAUUAUGUUUUAAAUAUGUUUAAUUUUGUGUAUUUUUAUGUGUUUAUUAGGAAAAAUAUUAAUUUCACAUACUUCGAGGCUUCAAACAGAUAAAUGGAGGUCAAAUUUGGAUUCCGGAGGUCCGAAAACCUUAAGAUCAGUCAAGAUCAGCUUAAAAUUGGGCUUGUGUAAAAAAAGUUGACUUUUUCUGUUGACCGAGCACUGAUUGGAUGAUGAAAUGAGCUUACAAUAGAUAUGAGUGCAUGAGAUACACUACUAGAAAAAUGGUCUUUACUGACUUUAGAAUAGUGUCAGAAAUUACUUUCACUGACACUUGUUAAUUGUGUCAGUAAUCUGGGAGUCAGAAAAAUAGUGACACUUGUAAUUGGUGUUAGUGAUUACUGUUACUAUAGUAUUACCAGAUUUAUGACACUAUGGUAUUAGUAAUUACUGAUAAUGAUCACUUGUUAAAAGUUACUUUCACCAUAGUAUCACAAAAUAUUAUGACACUAUAGUAAUAGUAUUUACUAACAAUUAUUACAUGUCAAUAGUUUGUUUUACACUGGGAUAUGACAUGAUAGAAUAAACGGAUACUAAUACUUUAGUGUCAGCAAUUUGUAAUACUAUAGCAUCACUAAUAUUAUGAUGCUGAAUCAUUUUUUAGCGUUAAUGGCUUCGAUUAAAUGGUGCCGAAAUUAUUGUUGUUACUCGAUUAUUUUCAUUAUUCUUUUAGUUUUGCCAAUCAAAUAAUGGUAUUCAAAGAAAAUCUAUUCAAAUUAAACUAAAGUACAAAUUUGAAUAAUUAAAUAUAAGUAUAUAAUAUUCCUACCAACAUUUAAAUAGGUAUCAAAUAAAAUAGUAAUACAAAUAUCCAAAAUAUUGUUUGAAAACAUGUCAAAUAUUUACAUGAACACAUAAUGACAGUUUGCAGGAAACAAUCAGUACAUCUACUCUUUGAUCCUUGCCUUUCCCUUCACCUUUGCCACCUAUAAUUGCAGUAUAUAGAAUCAAUUAGCUACUAUGCUACAAAAAUCAAUUCUUUGAUAUUUACAAGCAAAAAUAUAAUUUACCUCAUUAUUGUAUGCUACAAGUAACUUUGCAACAUACAUCGCCCAUUGAUCGCGAAGUUGCGAAAAAUCGUCCAUAGUGUACUCAUUACAGCCCUUGAACUUCAAAAAUAAAGCAACAAAAUAUAUUCAUAUAUUAUAUAAUCUGUCCUAAAAUAGAAGAACACAAUAAAAACAUAUAUUUUUAAGUUUGCCAGGAUUAACAUCAAAACUGAAGAACAUGCAAAUAAAUUGUAUUACCAUAGCAAACAACGGUUACCAAAGCUGUCUAAGAAGCUGAUAAUUUAUAAUAUAUUAUUUGCUUUACUCAAUAUUACUUCUAACACUCAGCACUGGGAUUUAUAUGCUUUAUAUAUGUACAUGCAGCAGCUCCAAUCAUUGCUCAAUAAUACUUUAACACUGAACACUGAGAUUUAUAUGCAUUCUAUUUGUACAUGCAACAACUCCAGUCAUUUUGGUUUACACUAAAGUGCCUUAAAUACAUAGUAGAACACAGUAAAAAUUGGCAUUAAUUUUUCCAAACAUGUUGAAUGCAUUCAGUAAAAUGGUAUAUAGCGUUAUAGCUUUUACCUAUAAUAAAUAUGGCAAAUGAAGUGUAUGUGAUUAUCCUAAACAUACACAACACUUCCUCUAAUCCCUAGCACAAGAUAUGAUUAUAUUGCUAGUUUCAAGCAUAAAGCAGCAAACUGUUCACCCAUUAACCAUCUUUACAAUUCACUUAAGAAAAUCCAUUUGACAAUGCAUUCUUCGAACAAAUAUUAAACAAGUUUUGGAGAAACUCACAUUGUUUUCAAGAAUGCACAAAUCGCGAACAAUAUCCUGGAUGUACUUCAUCACAUAGUAACCACAUUCAAAGGUUCCAGCUUGUUUCGGACACUAAAAAAAAAUAAAUAAACUUAGUUUCAAAUAUACUGAUGAAGUAACAAUGGAAAUCAUAACUUUGUUUCAUUAAUACCUUCACAGAGACCCACUGCACAGCCUUCUUUUUAUUACUCUUCACUUGAUGCAUUGUUAUCCCACUAUAAAUAAUAAAUAACAUAUGCAACAAAUUAAUCUACAACAUAAAAAAUUAAUAAAGAAUUAAGUAAACUAAUUAAACUUACUCAUUCACCAUUUGCUUCAACUCAUCAUCAGGAUUAUCACCUAAUGGAUCAAGAUAAUAAAUUUUUCGCCUCACCAUAUCAAUUGCUACUAGCACCCAGUGGCCACUAAACAAACAAGUAAAAAAAAAAAAACAGAUUACAAGAUAAAUUUAAAUAAUUUAUGUUAAAAAAUAAAAUAGACAAAAAAUAAAUAAACUAUACCCUGGGUUAUAUGGGAAGACAAUUAUUUGGGCUAUUUGAAUCUUGUCCAAAAGGUCUGAAAUAUAGGAACACCUAUUUGGGUAGCUUGCUUGACUUGGGUGUAACUUAGCUAUGCAUCCAAAUUGAAUUGGAAUAACACCACUGCCAUUAUCCAUCUCUUCAUACAAGUGUCUAUUAAAAAAAAGAAACUUUCAUGGCAUGAAUAUAAGAAAUAAAUAAAUGACAGUUUGCAAAAUCAGAAAACAUAGUAAAAACAUAAAUCAAGUUUUUUAUUUCUUACUUGAUCCAUAUCUCCAAAACAGAAUUUGAGAGCUCUGUAAACUCAAUGACUUCAUUGCAAAUCUGCUCGUCCAAUCUGCUCUCCCAGUAGACACCAAAAGUCUUCAAAUCAUGGGCAAUCAUAAUCGUCCGUGGCAGGGAGCUCUCAAUCAUCAAAGAAAAGAUGUUCAUUUGUGAACUUUUGUUCUCUUUUCUUGCUUUCACAGCUCCACGGGUAUUCUUUCUCAGAACCAGUUUCCUUGCUGUCACUGGUUUUACAACAACGGGUUCCUUUGUUGUUCGUUUCUGUUCAUACAGAUAUACCACGGCAUUUGUAGGAGACCUUCGGCCAUCCACUUUUCUCUUUGAAGGAGUUAAUCUUGGAGAUCUUCUUGGGGUGAUUUUUGAAGUGGCUUCACAAACUACUGGGGGUGGAUUCUUUGCAGGGGAUGGCAGGGGAGGUGUGUUGAUGUUUUUGUCAGGUUUUGGACAAACAGUGGGGUCAUUGGUCACUGACUUUGGACUAACUUUGGUCACCGACUUGGGGGUAGCUUUGGGGUUGUUGUUGGUCACUGAUUUUGGGGUAGCUUUGGGGUUGUUGGUCACUGACUUUGGAGUUGCUUUGGGGUUGUUAGUCACUGACUUUGGAGUAACUUUGCUGGGUGAUCGACGAUCUAUCUCCAUCUUAACACUGCAACCACCUUUGGAGUUAGGAAAGUUGGAACUGCCAACUUCAGUGUUGUUGCAGGCGUUGAUCCUUGCAUUCAUUUGAUCUAAUUGAGCUUGCAUAAACUGAAAACUCUCCUGAUACAUUCUCCGUUCUCGCGCCAACUCCGUGGGGUCAGGGACAUUGAAAUACAUGGAUGGGGUGAUGAAUUGACCCAAUCCUUGCACCCGACUUCCAUUAGGCUUCUUUUGAAGUGCUUCACCUAGGAUAUCAUUCGGUCCUUGGGAUUGGAAUGUUCCCUGCUCAACUUGACUUCUUAGCUCACUCUACAAAAUAAAUACAAAAAUAAUUUGAUCAAAAUUAGGAAUAAAAAAAUAAAUAAGUUAAAUAAUGAUAGUGGUGGUGGAAACUUACAAUUCUCUCAGCCACUUGCUGCACUUCAGGUGUAUAAGUUCCAUCUUUUCUCCUAUGAGCCAAUAACCAGGCUUCACUGCGGUCAAUCUCGCGCUCAGUAACUCCGAGGUCCAACUGCUGUAAUAAUUCAACAAAAAUUGAAUUGAAAACUGGUAUGAAUCAUCCUAUUAUUUGUAUUGAAAAUGUCAUAAGUUUGUAUAGAGUGGUUAUUAUACUUACUCUUUUAUGCAACAACCCAGCAUAUCCUGUGCUGCCCAAGUGAUGAUUGUACAUAUUCUUUGCUCUUUUUUCCUUUGCUGCCUUACUUUUUUCCUGCACAAAGCGGAUAUUGAUUAAAAUGGUUACAUGAACUCAAUAAUAUUAUCUAACUAACAUAAUUUUAAACAUACCUGAAAGGCUUCAGAUAAAACCUUAUCAACAAAGCUCUUCCAGUCCUCUUUUCUAAUGCCUUCAUACUCAAGAGGAGGUUUUUUCAGUGAACUCAAGUUGUUUGCAUUGGGCAGAAUAUAUUCAUUGGCCAACUUACAUCUAAAGCCCCUUAAUGCAAUUCCCAUCCACUUGAAUACUUGGGUUUUUGCCUUAAGACUCAACUUAAACCUUUCCUGAAAAUGAGUCCAUAACGUCUCCUUGAUGUCUAGUGGCACUUUCCUCCAAUCAUCAUAGAUAAUUGGAACUCUUUCGCGUACAAUCACCCCAAUGUAGUUCCUCAGAUCAUUUCUCUUUUUGCCAACUAGAACUCCGUAUGAAUUGUACAUAACCUCAGUGUCGUCACUAGCUCCUCUCUGCAGGUCUUUCUUCUUUGUAAGGUUUCGUCUUGGUCUGCCUUCUAGAUCUGGAUCAAAUGUUGGCUCCUCUUUUUCUGUCAUGUCUCCAACAAACCUGCAAAUACAUCAAAGUGGAUGAGUGCACCGCAUACCAAUCUAAUAUCCUAAUAUAAUAAUAAAAUAAUAAAAAACAAAUUUGUUGGUGACUUACAGGAAGUAGUGGUAAUAAGGCAUAGUAGUUGGAUUAUUCAUUUUCCGCACCAAUAUUUACAAGAAAAACAUCAACAUCUACUCUGACACAAACUCCUCAUCACCCAAACCUAACUUACAUUCUGGAAAAUUGUUGGAUAAUGGUGCAUACUCAUCGAUGCCAUCACACAAGUCCUCAUUUGAAUAAUAACAUUUUGAGCUCACUGAACAAACAACUGAUUUACUAUUAUCUAACUGAUCUUUCACAUAAAACACUUGCUUUGCAUGACGAGCUAGAAUGAAAUAGUCAGAUUUGUAGCCUAUUCGAUCUAAAUUGACUACAGUGAACCCUAACUCAUCAACAUUAACCCCUCUAUCAUCUACCCAAUCGCACUUGAAAAGUACGUUCUUAACCCCUAGAUAAUCAAGCUGCCAAAUUUCACUGACAACCCCAUAAAAAGGCAUAUCCCCAGAAUGAGGAUUUUUGUCUUUCGAACUUGAAAUCUGUAAAGUGUUAGCAACUACAUAAACGCCACUGUUUUGUGUUAUGCGGUUGCUGUCCCGAUCUCUUGUAGCAAAAUUAAAACCAUUAAUACAGUAGCCAUCAUAUGUAACCACGCUUGAGCGGGGUUUGUUUGCCAGCCACCAUACUUUUUUGUCAACCACUACAUUAUUUGCUUUAUCAGUUGUUACCUAUUGUUCAAUUAAUAAAAUCACAAUAAUUAGUUGAAAGAGAAAAGUUUGUGUGCUUUUACUUGGAUAUUUUUAUUAGAUCUAAUGAAGUUAAUCUAACCUUUUGUUUCAGCCAAUCAGCAAACGUACGGGAGUGCUCGGUUGGCAACCAUAAAGGCUUUUUUAAUUGACGAGGGUGUGUUGAUUGCAAUAAGGCCAAAUGCUCCCUAAAAUUAUACCAACAGAAUUAUUAAAAUUGAAGAAAAAUUAACGAAAAAGAGGUUCAAAUUUUCAGUCACAUACUCUAUGUAUGGUUGAAUCUCGGGGGUGUUCACCAGAACACAUCGGUGCGCUUGCGCCAAUGUAGGGCCAUCAACCACCUUAAUAUUUGCACCUCCGAGUGGCCUUUCGACUGUAAAAUCAAUUAGACAACCAGUAGGUAGUCCGAUUGAAUUACAAUUUGAAAGGUAUUCAACACAAAAUUCAAGUGCUUCCUCGGCAAUAUAGCACUCUGCAAUGCAACCUUCAGGACGGUAUCGGUUGCGUACAUAGCCCUUUAUAGGUUUCAUUUCUCUCUCAAAUGGAUACAUCCAUCGAAGGUAAACCGGGCCACAUAAUCAAACUUCUUCAAUUAGAUGGACUGUUAAAUGGACCAUUAUAUCGAAGAAGGCAGGUAGGAAAGAUUGUUCUAAAUUGUAUAAGGUGAUUGUAAGUUCUUUUUGCAAUUGGUCUAGAGAAUUGGGCUCUACUACCUUAGAACACAAAGAAUUAAAGAAGAGGCACAACCUGAUUAUGACAGAUCUGACAUUUUGAGGUAAACAAUUUCGAAUUGCUAAUGGUAGUAGUUGUUGCAUCAAGGUAUGACAAUCAUGAGACUUAAGCCCGUGAAGACGACAAUCUUCCAUUGAAACAAUAUUUCUAAAAUUAGAACAAUAGCCAUCAGGAACUUUAACACUUUGCAAGGUUUCACAAAACAUUUUUUUUUCCUUCUUACUUAAAGUGUACGGGGCAGGGGGCAGGACUUUGUUUUGUUCAUCAGGAGCUAAUACAAUCAAUGCUUUGUUAAUUUUUUCUCUAAGGUCUGGAUGUGUAAGAUCUUUUCUAGCAUUAAUUCCAUCUUUUGUUUUCCCCGGUUGUUGGAGUAAUGUGCCAUAGAUGCUCUCACAUACAUUUUUCUCAAUAUGCAUCACAUCUAGUUGAUGGCGAACUAACAAAUGCUCCCAAUAUUCUAAAUCAAAGAAGAUUGAUCUCUUUUUGUACAGCAACUGAGCUACAUCCCCUUUACCCCCACCCUCACCUUCAAUCUCACUAUCUCCCUCACACUCACCCUCAACCUCACCCUCACCCUCACCCUCACCCUCAACAUCACCCUCACCCUUACUGUUACCCUUACUGUUACCCUCACCUUUACCCUUAUUGUGACCCUCAACCUCACCCCGUUUACGCUUUUUUNNNNNNNNNNNNNNNNNNNNNNNNNNNNNNNNNNNNNNNNNNNNNNNNNNNNNNNNNNNNNNNNNNNNNNNNNNNNNNNNNNNNNNNNNNNNNNNNNNNNCUAUGCGGUAGCCAACAUGCACAUGUGUUUAUCCCACAAACUGGACACCAUAAUACCCCUUAACAGUACACCCAGACAAGUUUCCAUAAGCUGGAAAAUCACUAAUUGUCCACAUCAACACAGCUCGUAAAUUAAAAGUUUGUUUCCUAUAACCAUCAAACACAUCAACGCCUACAUCCCAUAGGGUUUUUAAGUCCUCAAUCAAUGGUGCUAGGUAUACAUCUAUGUCAUUUCCAGGUUGUUUAGGACCAGAUAUCAGUAGAGACAACAUCAUAAAUUUUCUUUUCAUACACAGCCACGGAGGAAGGUUAUAUGUUAUCAAUGUAACAGGCCAACAACUAUAAGUAGUGCUAAGUGUGCUAUGUGGGUUAAUCCCAUCAGAUGAUAAAGCGAACCGAAGAUUUCUCGGCUCUUGGGCAAAAUCAGGCCAUUUCUUGUCAAUUAACUGCCAAGCUGGUGAAUCUGCUGGGUGGCGAAGCUUGCCAUCUCUAAUUCUUUUAUUUUCAUGCCAUGUUAAGUUCUCAGCAGUUUGUGGUGAUUGAAACAUUCUUUUCAACCUAGGAAUUAUAGGAAAAUACCAUAACACCUUUUUAGGGACCCCCUUUCUAAUUUUUUUUUAUCCAUCUUUUCUUAUUUGCCACCUAAAUGCUCCACACCUUGGGCAUUCACUAAGAUUCUCGAACUCAUUCCUAUAAAGAAUGCAAUCAUUUCGACAUGCAUGUAUUUUCUCAUAAUCUAAGCCUAAUAGCUUCAUUAUUUUUCUGGCCUCAUACAUGGACUUAGGCAAACUAUUAUCAUUUGGCAAUAUCUCAUUAAGCACUUCCAAUAAAACUGAAAACCCACUAUCAGACCAACCAUAAAGUCCUUUUAUAUUGUACAGUUUCAUUAGACUCGAUAACUUUGAAUGCUUUGAACCCGGAUAUAGGGGCUUUUCAGCAUCUUCAAGCACAUUCUUAAAAGAACUAGGAUCUUUAUGACAAUGCUCAAAAGCAUCAUGAACCAUGUCAUCUACAUAACUAUAAUCCGGACAUCUAAAACGUUGAUUUUGUGGCUGGUCUUGGCAUUUUACAGAGGUAGGUUUCCGGUCCACCUCACCAUGCCAAUUCCAAACUAAAUAAUUUUCUAGAAAACCUUUUUUAAAUAGAUGUAGCCUCACUUGUUGAGGACUCAAAAACUCCAUAUUACAUCAAGUGGUACAAGGACAUCUAAUUGACAUUCUAUUUUCAGAAUUAAGAAUGGCAAACUCCAAGAAAUCAUCAACCCCAUCACUAUACUCAUCAGACAAUCUAUCACAGAAUAUCCAAGUUUUGUCCAUAACUUGUAUUGUUACAUGUUCAUUUGUUAGAUGUUGUUAGUUUAAUAAGUUUGCUUAAAUUGCACAAAUAACUCCAAACUUUAGGUUUAAAUUAAAAAAUACAAAUUGAAAAUAAAUCUAAAUUCUAUUUGUUUAGACUCACUUAAAUAUAUGUACGCAUUCAGCAACCCAACAUAGCAUAUAUGUAAGCAUUCAGCAACCCAACAGAGCAUAUAUCUAAGUAUUCAGCAACCCAACAGAGCAUACAUGUACACAUUCAACAAGCCAACAGAGCAUACAUGUACACAUUCACCAAGCCAGCAAAUCUAACUUACAUGUACACAUUCAGCAAGCCAACAAAACAUGCCACAUCCACAUUUUUCAAAAUUUCUUUUUCAUAUUAGAACAAACAAAAGUAUAUAUUAGAAUAAAAAAAUUUAUUCCAGAACAGUCUAUGCAACAAAAACGAAAGUAAAACUAUGCAUGUCAAUAUUUAAAACAUCUCAGUACAAGUAAAACUCAGAACACAACGAUAAUAUAAAUUGAAAGUAAGUGAGUGAUUUAAAAGAAUUACCAAAUGAAGACAGCUGUUACACUGUAAACUUUUGUGAUUCUUCAAAAGCGACAGAUUGUUAAUUACUAUGUCAGAGAGCUGUACAAGGGAAAUCGCAUAAAAAAAGAUUAAGGACAAUACUUGUUGUUGUUGAAGGGUUUGCAUGUGAGAUAUUGCAUUUAUACUAAGUCUAGCAAGUACAUUACAGGGAAAGGAUUGAUGAAUUGACCCUUUGUUAAUAUGUAUCUUUAUCAAGCGCUAAUUAAAUGGAAUAAGUUAGGCCCAAAAUUAAAAGCAUCAUGCAAAAUUUAAAAUGCAAUUUCGAGAAAUGGGGAAAAUGAGAAAAACCCAAAUCUACAUUGACAUUGUAUCCAUCAAUUCCAGUUAAAGUGUACAUGAAAUUCAAAGUCCAGUGACAAGGCAACUAAAGAAAGAGACGAAAGAAAACUGAUUUGAAUCAGGCACUUAUAAAACUACUCUUAGUUAAAGACUCUAGUACAAUAAUUCAACUUUAGUUACCUUUACCUCUCUGUUAGGUUUUCCCAGGUCCUAAAUUAUAAACAAUCAAGAUUACAAAAAAAAAACUAAGAAUUUUAAAACUCAUUCUACAGUUAAACCGCAACAAAACAACAUGCAUGAGGAAAAUAGGCACUGUAAAUUGGAAACAUAAUAAUUAAAAAUAAAUAAAAAUGAAUAAAUGGCACCUUCAGAAACGAAUUUAUCGCAGUGAAGAGAGAGAGACAGAGAGAACCGAAUUGUGAUAGAAAUGAAUUCCUCUGCUUCGAGCUUGGUUGGGAUCGACGUGAAGUUUGAUUACAGUGAGGGAUAUGAUUUUAGGGUUUGGUUUACUUAGCUUUGACAGAGAAGGAGAACCGAGUGGUGAAAGACUGAUGAGUGAAUGACUUAGAACAAAAUUAGCUUCGAUUUUGGUCUUAGGCUUGUAUAAAACGAUGCGUUUUACUUAUCUUUAUUUUUCCUAAGUGAAACGAUACCGUUUUUAACUGAAAAUAUAUUAUUUACUAAUAAAUUUUCAGCCAAAACCCGCUAAAAUUUUCAAUGAGCCGCGCUCAAUACAUUUCAAGAGCUUCAUAUUAAAAUUAUAAUAUUCUACUAAUUCAGUUGCAUAACUAACAAAAGGUCAGAACGGUUUCAAUUUUAAACUUAAAUGCUUUGGCUUUGGAAAGUCCUGGGUUCGAAAAUCAGUUUGGAACGAAAUUUAUAUUUUAUUUUCUUUUACUGAUACCUUAGUGUCACCAAGAAAAAGACCAAUGGUCUUUUUCUUAAACUUAAAUGUUCCGAUGUUCGAGGUCCCAGGUUCGAAUUCCAUCUGUUACAUGAUUAGAAUUAUUUUAUUUUUAUUACUAAUACUUUAGUGUCAGCGAUUUCUGAUGUCACAAUUACAGACACCAUAGUAUCAUUAAUUUGUGAUACAUAUGUGUUAAACACGGAAAAUGGCCCAUAUGUAUACAAAUACUGAUACUUUGUAUUAAAGUGUCACAAACCAAGUGUCAGUAAAGACCAUUUUUCUAGUAGUGAUAGCUGGCAAUUUUGACUAAAUCUCAACCGUUCAUGAUUCAAUAGCCAUGAUUGUGCCACGUGGCAAUGGUUGGUGAAGCAAGUUGGAGGAUUCGAAUCUUUGUAUUCAGGUCAACCCGAUCCACCCAUUAACCUGCCAAAUCUCAACCGUUCUUUGGGCAAAUCGGACGAGUCAAACGAUGCCACGUGUGAUGUUGACUUUUGAAGUUUGACCGCAAAGCACUGGAUUAUGAAUUUAUUUUUCUAUAAAUAGAGCCUCAUUUUUAUGUUUUUAAUCAUCUUUCUACAACUCUCUUCUUCUCAAAUUCUCUCCAUCUCCUUGUAAUCUUGAUUUCCAGGUGUGUUUUUAAUAUUUUGUAUAAUUAUUUUUAUAAAUAAAAUUAGUUUAUUUCCAAUUUUAGUUGUUUUUAUUACUUUUAAUUAUAAGUAAUUCAAUUUUACUACUUCUUUUUAUUUUAAUUAUGCUUAACUAAAUAAUAUUAGUUAGGGGAAG
This 29769-nucleotide long non-coding RNA is filed under the name Citrus x clementina. RNAcentral describes it as "Citrus clementina (C. clementina) long non-coding RNA (CCLE_LNC003524)". Lineage: Eukaryota; Viridiplantae; Streptophyta; Magnoliopsida; Sapindales; Rutaceae. The record is from RNAcentral.